Molecule: long non-coding RNA, 1998 nt
Filed under: Pan troglodytes (chimpanzee)
Lineage: Eukaryota; Metazoa; Chordata; Mammalia; Primates; Hominidae
Description: lincRNA
Source: RNAcentral
UACACUCAUCCCUGCCAUUAGCAUUCAGGACCAAUCUUCUAUAGCCUAUACACCACACUGGUCUAGGACAGCACCUAAAUAAUACUCAUGCUAUAAAAAAUUCAUCAAGUUAUAUAUUUUUAAAAACAUCCCUAAAAUUAUCUUUUUCCUUUACUGAAAAGAAUUUCAGGAUUCCCUCUCUCUCACUGCCUCUCUUCACACACACCUACCUUAGUUGGUCACCUAUUUUGUAAACAUAUCUUCUUUAAAAAAAGAAAGAAAUGGCAGUACAUGAAAAACUGCUUCGUAAAAAGAAACUAUAUUAUUUAUAUUUGUAGCAUUUUUUUCCCCUUGAGGUUAAUUUCCUUUGCUUCCCAUAACUGGAAGCCAAUGAUUCAGUGCCAUUAUAUAAGCUUAUUUUCCCUCUUGGAAAUAGUAAAUUAUAAGAGGUUUGACCCAAAAAUAUACAUCAAAAUUAGGCAGUAUUUGGUGUUUAGCCUCCAUCUGCCUUGUCUUCUUGUCUUUAGUUGUGCAAGUAGAUGCUGAUGAUUUCUGGCAGAACUAAAGUAAGUAAAUCAUGUGAAUUUAUUUUUUUUCCUCAUAAAGCAGAUGGCAUGGUCUAGCUCUGGGCUUGUAUGUUUCAUGAAGUACAUGGGUCUGAGUGCAUAUUUAUUUUGUGAGCCAAGGUUUAUGCCUUCUUCUAUAAUUUUCUUUCACCGAAAAUUACCUGGAGAGCUAGAAACUCCAUUUUUGUCAGUGUAAGAAGCUUUAGAAUCUAUAUCCAGACCAAGGCCAUGGAACAAUGUAGAUUCACUCAGUAAAAACUCACUAGCGGCCUUCUUUGUACUAGUCUGUCACCUUUGCUUGGCUUUGGGAAGCUUCAAACUAGGGCAGUUUAUGUUUGGGAAUGACCAGUCAAAUAGCAAGACAGACAUAGGCAAGGAUGUAAUUUUUAAAAAUUUAAGUGGGGAAUGGUGAAGCAUGAAUCAAAACAGAAGGUAGUCUUACCUUCUUGGAACUGUAAAAUAAAUACAUUUGAAAAAGGCACCCUCUCAACCUUCUGCGAGUCAGAAUUUUUGCUGCCACCCCUCAUUUUGAAUCUCUAUUCUGCAUUUUUUAUUCUUUUUUUUAGGAAGGAGGAAGAAAAAUUUCUCCUGAAGAAUUCAUUGGAAAUUAAAAUUAACUUGCGUAUUUUGUAUUCUUUGGAAUGUGAUGAAGACUGAUUUGAAAGGGCAGUGCUGGAUUUGGUCAGGCAUAGGAAAGGAAGACAUGCAGUCGUCCUGCCUAGCUCAUCCCCGCCACGAUGGAGAAGUGGGGUUGCUUUCGUUGUACUUUUUUUCAUUUGUUUCUUGCCAAGCCCAGUGGCUUCUGUUAUAACAUGUGGCAGCUUCUCCCUUGGAGACUGAUUCAGUCCAAGUUACCAUAAUAUUUAGGACCAGCUACAGAGACGUUUCUUCCCCUAAACCCAUGCCAAAUCUAAAUCAAACUAUCUUCUUCUCCUUAGCCGUUCAAAUAGCUCCAGCUCUUAUAUAAAAAUACGAGAAAUACACAGGCCUCUUUUCGUUUUAUUCCUGUUCAAACAGAUAAACAAACAAGGCACAUCAUGCCUAGGUUGCUUUGAGCUUGAUCACUUCCUCCUAAAGCAGUCUUACGCUGUGUUGAUUUUAAGAAUUGCAACUUAGGUGUUCUAGAACAUAUUCUGAGAGCAUAGUCAUAGUCUGUGAUCUCAGAAUAUGUUUGCUUCCCCUUAGAACAUCUGAGUUCUAGAAAUUGCGUACAAUAAACUGCUGUCAGUGCUGCUGGAGGAAGGAAGAGUAACUCUGACAUCACUGGCCUUCAACAGGUGUGGCGCUGAGCUUCUGGGCCUCAGAAGCCCUGACUUCUAGAGGCUGGGGGCCAGCGGGGCAGGGAGGUGAUCUCAUCGUGGAUGGCCACAGAUCAUCCACCUGCCAAACAGUUAACCCUGAACAAGUCACAUCAAUUUAUUUUGCUUUUAAAAAAGAAAGUUUGCAAAAUAGA